GCCCACCAUGGACAGGCUGUGCUCCAUUCUUCUCCUGCUGACCUUUCCGGCCUGGGUCCUGUCCCAGGUCACCCUGAAGGAGUCUGGCCCUGGGCUGGUGACCCCCACCCAGACCCUCAGGCUGACCUGCUCCUUCUCUGGUUUCUCACUGAGCACAUCUGGUAUGGGUGUAGCCUGGAUCCGACAGCCCCCAGGGAAGGGCCUGGAGUGGUUGGCAAAUUUUUGGUGGGAUGAUACUAAGUACUACAACUCAGCCCUAAAGAGCCGGCUCACAAUUUCCAAGGACACCAACAACCAGGUGUCCCUCACGGUGACCAGCAUGGACCCUGGAGACACAGCCACAUAUUACUGUGCAAGAGCAGCACAGAGACUCAGCUUUGACGGCCUCCUGUACACAAUCAGAGGCUGGGUCUGUGCUCAGGCCCCUCUCAGAGCUGCUGUGGAUACUUCCUCCAGAAGUGCUCACAGUGGCGCUGUGUCCUCAUGUGUCACGAAGAGCCUGAUGAGGAAAUCUGCACGUUGUCAGGACUUCCCCUGGGGCCGUCAUGACGCCUCUUACUUGGAGACCCACUUAUGA
Non-coding RNA from Fukomys damarensis (Damara mole-rat), 577 nucleotides. The record is from the annotation of a RefSeq genome assembly. Lineage: Eukaryota; Metazoa; Chordata; Mammalia; Rodentia; Bathyergidae.